Molecule: ribosomal RNA, 253 nt
Filed under: uncultured bacterium
Lineage: Bacteria
Description: partial 16S ribosomal RNA
Rfam family: Bacterial small subunit ribosomal RNA
Source: RNAcentral
UACGUAGCGUGCGAGCGUUAAUCGGAAUUACUGGGCGUAAAGCGUGCGCAGGCGGUUUUGUAAGCCAGACGUGAAAUCCCCGGGCUUAACCUGGGAAUGGCGUUUGGGACUGCAAGGCUUGAGUAUGGCAGAGGGGACUAGAAUUCCUGGUGUAGCAGUGAAAUGCGUAGAUAUCAGGAGGAAUACCGAUGGCGAAGGCAGGUCCCUGGGUUAAUACUGACGCUCAUGCACGAAAGCGUGGGGAGCAAACAGG